AGAGUUUGAUCCUGGCUCAGGAUGAACGCUAGCGGCAGGCCUAAUACAUGCAAGUCGAACGGUGAUAGCAAUAUCAUAGUGGCGCACGGGUGCGUAACACGUAUGCAACCUACCUUAUACUGAGGGAUAGCCUUUCGAAAGGGAGAUUAAUACCUCAUAACACAUUGAACUGGCAUCAGUUUAUUGUUAAAGAUUUAUUGGUAUAAGAUGGGCAUGCGUCCAAUUAGUUAGUUGGCGAGGUAACGGCUCACCAAGACGAUGAUUGGUAGGGGAACUGAGAGGUUAAUCCCCCACACUGGCACUGAGAUACGGGCCAGACUCCUACGGGAGGCAGCAGUAGGGAAUAUUGGGCAAUGGAGGCAACUCUGACCCAGCCAUGCCGCGUGCAGGAAGAAGGCGUUAUGCGUUGUAAACUGCUUUUAUAUAGGAAGAAAUAGACCUUGCGAGGUAAGUUGACGGUACUAUAUGAAUAAGCACCGGCUAACUCCGUGCCAGCAGCCGCGGUAAUACGGAGGGUGCAAGCGUUGUCCGGAUUUA
This 537-nucleotide ribosomal RNA is filed under the name uncultured bacterium. RNAcentral describes it as "bacterial SSU rRNA". It matches the Rfam family "Bacterial small subunit ribosomal RNA", at positions 8 to 553 of the family's 1533-position model. The record is from RNAcentral.